This 372-nucleotide long non-coding RNA is filed under the name Zea mays. RNAcentral describes it as "long non-coding RNA NONZMAT003851". Lineage: Eukaryota; Viridiplantae; Streptophyta; Magnoliopsida; Poales; Poaceae. The record is from RNAcentral.
GUUCGUGGCGCCCAAUAAUAUGCCCGCCGCUUUGCCCAAUAAUGCGUGCGGUUCGUGAGGCCAGGCGCGGCGCAGGGGAAUCCAAUUAUUCAGGCCGAUCCAAACCGGUCUGUCGAGCUAUAGUACCAAGAGCACAGCACAGUGGAUCGUCACAAGACAGUGUCCUCCGGAAAAUCCGCUACGCAUCGACCAUCUCAACUAUUUAAACACCAUGAUAAGCACCAAAGUUAGUACUCAGAGGAGCACUAUACGUACUGACGGAUUCACAGAGCAUCCGGAACGUGGAAAAAAGUUGAGAAGAAUCUCGGUAUCGGACGCAGCGUCCAAGCAAGAGGAUGAAUUGAUGACCGCGGGCAGACACGACGCGCGCAC